UACCUGCAGCUCAAGUAGUGACCGCUAUUAUUGGGCCUAAAACGUUCGUAGCCGGUUUGGUAAAUGCCUGGGUAAAUAGUGUAGCUUAACUAUACGAAUUCCGGGUAGACUGCCAAACUUGAGACCGGGAGAGGCUAGAGGUACUCCUGGGGUAGAGGUGAAAUUCUGUAAUCCUGAGGGGACCACCAGUGGCGAAGGCGUCUAGCUAGAACGGGUCUGACGGUGAGGGACGAAGCCCUGGGGCGCAAACCGGAUUAGAUACCCGGGUAGUCCAGGGUGUAAACGCUGCUUGCUUGAUGUUAGUUGGGCUCCGAGCCCAAUUAGUGUCGGAGAGAAGUUGUUAAGCAAGCUGCCUGGGAAGUACGAUCGCAAGAUUGAAACUUAAAGGAAUUGGCGGGGAGCACAGCAACGGGUGGAGCGUGCGGUUU
This 428-nucleotide ribosomal RNA is filed under the name uncultured archaeon. RNAcentral describes it as "bacterial SSU rRNA". It matches the Rfam family "Archaeal small subunit ribosomal RNA", at positions 474 to 903 of the family's 1478-position model. The record is from RNAcentral.